Molecule: ribosomal RNA, 490 nt
Filed under: uncultured Glomus
Lineage: Eukaryota; Fungi; Glomeromycota; Glomeromycetes; Glomerales; Glomeraceae
Description: SSU rRNA
Rfam family: Eukaryotic small subunit ribosomal RNA
Source: RNAcentral
AGCAGCCGCGGUAAUUCCAGCUCCAAUAGCGUAUAUUAAAGUUGCUGCAGUUAAAAAGCUCGUAGUUGAAUUUCGGGACCAUCAUGUCGGUCGUGCCUCGGUACGUACUGGCAUUGUUGGUUUCUACCUUCUGACGAACCAUGAUGUCAUUUAUUUGGUGUCGUGGGAAAUCAGGACUGUUACUUUGAAAAAAUUAGAGUGUUUAAAGCAGGCUCACGCUUGAAUACAUUAGCAUGGAAUAAUGAAAUAGGACGUUUGAUUCUAUUUUGUUGGUUUCUAGGAUCGACGUAAUGAUUAAUAGGGAUAGUUGGGGGCAUUAGUAUUCAAUUGUCAGAGGUGAAAUUCUUGGAUUUAUUGAAGACUAACUACUGCGAAAGCAUUUGCCAAGGAUGUUUUCAUUAAUCAAGAACGAAAGUUAGGGGAUCGAAGACGAUCAGAUACCGUCGUAGUCUUAACCAUAAACUAUGCCGACUAGGGAUCGGAUGAUGUU